UUGAAUGCCAGUGUUAGGAAGGAAGUUGUUCUUUGCGAAAAUAAUUUGUGCAUGGACAAAAGGAGUAAAACAGCGUGAAUGCCGCGAAUCAGGAAAAGGAGCCGUUCACAAAACGGACGCAACAGGAUGGACUCGGCCAGUCUAACGUCGCGUGUCCAUCGGCCUGUGGCGUCCGCGUGUGUGCGAUGAUUUCAUGCAACUAACAAAUCGACGAGUAUGCAAUUGUAAAUUCUCUUUAUUUACAUACAAUAAAUACAAAUUGAAUAAAUAAGCGAAUCAGGAGAUUUAUUGCUGAGGAGUGACGAUGCAGCAGGCGACGCGGGCGCCGGCGUUGCCCGUCUUGAGGCUCUCGGCGUCUCUGCCCUUGCCCAGGUCGUCGGCCUUGGCGUGAACGACGAAGGCGCGUCCCACCACGGAAUCUUCGGCGCCGGGGGUGAGCGAAAUGCCCCGAGAGGCGAAAUUCACGACCGCCUGCCCGCUGAUGUCGGCCUCAAUGUUGCCGAAGUCGCCGGCGUGGCGGACCUCGUCGGAAGGGGAGCCGUGGGUGGCCUUCAAAUGUCAAUUAGCGUUAAGUUUAGAGCUGCUCUUCAUCCGAAGACCAAACAUUUAAUUUUAUGCCAUUAUGCAAUUGACAUGCGGCCUCCAAACAAUUAUUUGAUCUGCUGAUUUACCAGAUAAUAGCGAAACUUCAAAAUAAAUUAAUUUGAGAAUCGUCCUCAAAAUGAUUUUUGCUGACUACGAAUUCACAAUUAACACUUUAUGCUUAAGUUGGCAAAUAGAUU
This is a long non-coding RNA of Cloeon dipterum, 782 nucleotides long. RefSeq lists it as uncharacterized. The record is from RefSeq and is a predicted model, not a curated record. NCBI's taxonomy places the organism in Eukaryota, Metazoa, Arthropoda, Insecta, Ephemeroptera, Baetidae. The transcript has 2 exons.